RNAcentral lists this ribosomal RNA (492 nucleotides) under uncultured bacterium. RNAcentral describes it as "partial 16S ribosomal RNA". It matches the Rfam family "Bacterial small subunit ribosomal RNA", at positions 29 to 507 of the family's 1533-position model. The record is from RNAcentral.
AGUGAACGCUGGCGGUAGGCCUAACACAUGCAAGUCGAACGGCAGCACAGUAAGAGCUUGCUCUAACGGGUGGCGAGUGGCGGACGGGUGAGGAAUACAUCGGAAUCUACUUUUUCGUGGGGGAUAACGUAGGGAAACUUACGCUAAUACCGCAUACGACCUACGGGUGAAAGCAGGGGAUCUUCGGACCUUGCGCGAGUGAAUGAGCCGAUGUCGGAUUAGGUAGUUGGCGGGGUAAAGGCCCACCAAGGCGACGGUCCGUAGCUGGCAUGAGAGGGAGAUGAGGCAGACUGGAGAUGAGACACGGUCCCAAGGCCUACGAGAGGCGGCAGUGGGGAAUACUGGAGAAUGCAGGCAAGCAUAAUCCAGACUGACCGCGUGGGUGAAGAAGGCCUUCUGGUUGUAAAAACAUUUUGUUGGGAAAGAAAAGCAGCAGGUUAAGGCCCCGAUGUUCUGACGGUACCCAAAGAAUAAGCACCGGCUAACUUCGUG